GCUUAAUACAGCUUUGGCGAGGUCGGAUGACGGGUGGGAGCCAGCGGUGGAAGGGGUGGCGAAAGUACCGGUUUGCCCCAGGCCGCCGAGGGGCCUCCUUAGAGAGACCUUGCCUGCUCCGCUCGCGUCCGCCGGGGCCGCGCGGGUCCUCCUGGCGCCGCCAGGUUCAAAAAGCCACUCGAGUUGUCACUGCGACGGCCCUGGGCCAGGAGCCGUUUCGGGAUCUGUCAAACAACGAGUUUUCGUCGUUCGAAUCAGGUUGACUGUGGUCCUUCAUCCCCCCAAUUUCCCGUACCUGGCGAGUCCAGCUCGUCGCGGAUACCAUUAACCCUGGAUAAAGAGAAUGGAGGUUACCUCUGUCCGUGUAGAUUCCUAAGCUGUCCUGGAGUGAUCCUUGGAGUAAAGGAAAGGUGCUUUGAAGCACAUUUAGCCAUCAG
This 437-nucleotide long non-coding RNA is filed under the name Pan troglodytes (chimpanzee). RNAcentral's name for it is "long non-coding RNA NONPTRT008355". The record is from RNAcentral. Lineage: Eukaryota; Metazoa; Chordata; Mammalia; Primates; Hominidae.